GAUGAACGCUGGCGGCGUGCCUAAUACAUGCAAGUCGAGCGAACAGACGAGGAGCUUGCUCCUCUGACGUUAGCGGCGGACGGGUGAGUAACACGUGGAUAACCUACCUAUAAGACUGGGAUAACUUCGGGAAACCGGGGCUAAUACCGGAUAAUAUAUUGAACCGCAUGGUUCAAUAGUGAAAGACGGUUUUGCUGUCACUUAUAGAUGGAUCCGCGCCGCAUUAGCUAGUUGGUAAGGUAACGGCUUACCAAGGCGACGAUGCGUAGCCGACCUGAGAGGGUGAUCGGCCACACUGGAACUGAGACACGGUCCAGACUCCUACGGGAGGCAGCAGUAGGGAAUCUUCCACAAUGGGCGAAAGCCUGACGGAGCAACGCCGCGUGAGUGAUGAAGGUCUUCGGAUCGUAAAACUCUGUUAUUAGGGAAGAACAAAUGUGUAAGUAACUAUGCACGUCUUGACGGUACCUAAUCAGAAAGCCACGGCUAACUACGUG
This 497-nucleotide ribosomal RNA is filed under the name uncultured bacterium. RNAcentral describes it as "partial 16S ribosomal RNA". It matches the Rfam family "Bacterial small subunit ribosomal RNA", at positions 28 to 507 of the family's 1533-position model. The record is from RNAcentral.